This 468-nucleotide ribosomal RNA is filed under the name uncultured bacterium. RNAcentral's name for it is "partial 16S ribosomal RNA". It matches the Rfam family "Bacterial small subunit ribosomal RNA", at positions 28 to 507 of the family's 1533-position model. The record is from RNAcentral.
GACGAAUGCUGGCGGCGUGCUUAACACAUGCAAGUCGAACGGAAAGGCCCUGCUUUUGUGGGGUGCUCGAGUGGCGAACGGGUGAGUAACACGUGAGUAACCUGCCCUUGACUUUGGGAUAAAUUCAGGAAACUGGGGCUAAUACCGGAUAGGAGCUCCUGCUGCAUGGUGGGGGUUGGAAAGUUUCGGCGGUUGGGGAUGGACUCGCGGCUUAUCAGCUUGUUGGUGGGGUAGUGGCUUACCAAGGCUUUGACGGGUAGCCGGCCUGAGAGGGUGACCGGCCACAUUGGGACUGAGAUACGGCCCAGACUCCUACGGGAGGCAGCAGUGGGGAAUAUUGCACAAUGGGCGGAAGCCUGAUGCAGCAACGCCGCGUGCGGGAUGACGGCCUUCGGGUUGUAAACCGCUUUCGCCUGUGACGAAGCGUGAGUGACGGUAAUGGGUAAAGAAGCACCGGCUAACUACGUG